RNAcentral lists this RNase MRP RNA (612 nucleotides) under Malassezia pachydermatis. RNAcentral's name for it is "RNase MRP". It matches the Rfam family "RNase MRP". From Rfam's summary of the family: RNase MRP is an enzymatically active ribonucleoprotein with two distinct roles in eukaryotes. In mitochondria it plays a direct role in the initiation of mitochondrial DNA replication. The record is from Rfam by way of RNAcentral. Lineage: Eukaryota; Fungi; Basidiomycota; Malasseziomycetes; Malasseziales; Malasseziaceae.
GGGACGCGCAAAGGACCGCUCAUACUUGAAUGCAGCCCUAGACAUACUUAUGUUGUACAUAAGUAUCCUGCUGUAGGGAAAGUCCCCGGGCAACUUUCGGCGCUGAAUCCUGAAAGGGUCUCCUAUGGAGGUAGCGGUAGCCUUUGGAGGAGCGACAGGGUUCUAUGGAUCUCCCUGCUUGGUCAUGGUGUAUUAUGGAGCGGUAUGCGUAUGGGUAGGCUCUCGCAUACGUUGAUUCUAUCGGAAAGCGGGUCUCUGUGUAGGGACAGAUCCGCGUAUGUGAAAGCCUCAACGAUAUGCAUAUACUAACCAUGCGCGCUAUGGCCUUGAUGAGCAAGGGUGUACUAUAGAACGUUGUGAGUCUGUGCUAUUGGAAGCAACAAGCGUGAUGUGGGCGGAAACGCAGUAGAUGUGCGAAGAUACGAGCCGCUACUGCUGCACUGCGUACGUCGCGUGGAGCUGGAUCGCACUGCACCUCUGCAAAGGAGGAACUACUGGCUAUCGCUGUAGGAGGGCAUGUGAAUGCGUUCGCGCCACACGUUCGUCACAUCUAUACAGUUAUGCGGUCGCCGACAUGUGCGGUAACACAAUGGGGCUUACUCUUGUGCGUCC